This 450-nucleotide ribosomal RNA is filed under the name uncultured bacterium. RNAcentral describes it as "partial 16S ribosomal RNA". It matches the Rfam family "Bacterial small subunit ribosomal RNA", at positions 354 to 796 of the family's 1533-position model. The record is from RNAcentral.
GUGGGGAAUAUUGGACAAUGGGCGAAAGCCUGAUCCAGCCAUGCCGCGUGUGUGAAGAAGGUCUUCGGAUUGUAAAGCACUUUAAGUUAGGAGGAAGGGUAGUAACCUAAUACGUUGCUACUUUGACGUUACCGACAGAAUAAGCACCGGCUAACUUCGUGCCAGCAGCCGCGGUAAUACGAAGGGUGCAAGCGUUAAUCGGAAUUACUGGGCGUAAAGCGCGCGUAGGUGGUUCAGUAAGUUGGAAGUGAAAUCCCCGGGCUCAACCUGGGAACGGCUUUCAAAACUGCUGAGCUAGAGUACGGUAGAGGGUGGUGGAAUUUCCUGUGUAGCGGUGAAAUGCGUAGAUAUAGGAAGGAACACCAGUGGCGAAGGCGACCACCUGGACUGAUACUGACACUGAGGUGCGAAAGCGUGGGGAGCAAACAGGAUUAGAUACCCGUGUAGUCC